GACGAACGCUGGCGGCGUGCCUAAUACACGCAAGUCGAACGCUUCUUUCCUCCCGAGUGCUUGCACUCAAUUGGAAAGAGGAGUGGCGGACGGGUGAGUAACACGUGGGUAACCUACCCAUCAGAGGGGGAUAACACUUGGAAACAGGUGCUAAUACCGCAUAACAGUUUAUGCCGCAUGGCAUAAGAGUGAAAGGCGCUUUCGGGUGUCGCUGAUGGAUGGACCCGCGGUGCAUUAGCUAGUUGGGGAGGUAACGGCUCACCAAGGCCACGAUGCAUAGCCGACCUGAGAGGGUGAUCGGCCACACUGGGACUGAGACACGGCCCAGACUCCUACGGGAGGCAGCAGUAGGGAAUCUUCGGCAAUGGACGAAAGUCUGACCGAGCAACGCCGCGUGAGUGAAGAAGGUUUUCGGAUCGUAAAACUCUGUUGUUAGAGAAGAACAAGGACGUUAGUAACUGAACGUCCCCUGACGGUAUCUAACCAGAAAGCCACGGCUAACUACGUG
RNAcentral lists this ribosomal RNA (508 nucleotides) under uncultured bacterium. Its description in RNAcentral is "partial 16S ribosomal RNA". It matches the Rfam family "Bacterial small subunit ribosomal RNA", at positions 28 to 507 of the family's 1533-position model. The record is from RNAcentral.